RNAcentral lists this ribosomal RNA (429 nucleotides) under Gemmatimonadota bacterium. RNAcentral's name for it is "Gemmatimonadetes bacterium partial 16S ribosomal RNA". It matches the Rfam family "Bacterial small subunit ribosomal RNA", at positions 355 to 776 of the family's 1533-position model. The record is from RNAcentral. Lineage: Bacteria; Pseudomonadati; Gemmatimonadota.
UAGGGAAUCUUCGGCAAUGGACGAAAGUCUGACCGAGCAACGCCGCGUGAGUGAAGAAGGUUUUCGGAUCGUAAAACUCUGUUGUUAGAGAAGAACAAGGACGUUAGUAACUGAACGUCCCCUGACGGUAUCUAACCAGAAAGCCACGGCUAACUACGUGCCAGCAGCCGCGGUAAUACGUAGGUGGCAAGCGUUGUCCGGAUUUAUUGGGCGUAAAGCGAGCGCAGGCGGUUGCUUAAGUCUGAUGUGAAAGCCCCCGGCUCAACCGGGGAGGGUCAUUGGAAACUGGGUGACUUGAGUGCAGAAGAGGAGAGUGGAAUUCCAUGUGUAGCGGUGAAAUGCGUAGAUAUAUGGAGGGACACCAGUGGCGAAGGCGGCUCUCUGGUCUGUAACUGACGCUGAGGCACGAAAGCGUGGGGAGCAAACAGG